This 449-nucleotide ribosomal RNA is filed under the name Staphylococcus aureus. RNAcentral describes it as "bacterial SSU rRNA". It matches the Rfam family "Bacterial small subunit ribosomal RNA", at positions 1 to 439 of the family's 1533-position model. Lineage: Bacteria; Bacillati; Bacillota; Bacilli; Caryophanales; Staphylococcaceae. The record is from RNAcentral.
UUUAUGGAGAGUUUGAUCCUGGCUCAGGAUGAACGCUGGCGGCGUGCCUAAUACAUGCAAGUCGAGCGAACGGACGAGAAGCUUGCUUCUCUGAUGUUAGCGGCGGACGGGUGAGUAACACGUGGAUAACCUACCUAUAAGACUGGGAUAACUUCGGGAAACCGGAGCUAAUACCGGAUAAUAUUUUGAACCGCAUGGUUCAAAAGUGAAAGACGGUCUUGCUGUCACUUAUAGAUGGAUCCGCGCUGCAUUAGCUAGUUGGUAAGGUAACGGCUUACCAAGGCAACGAUGCAUAGCCGACCUGAGAGGGUGAUCGGCCACACUGGAACUGAGACACGGUCCAGACUCCUACGGGAGGCAGCAGUAGGGAAUCUUCCGCAAUGGGCGAAAGCCUGACGGAGCAACGCCGCGUGAGUGAUGAAGGUCUUCGGAUCGUAAAACUCUGUUAU